AACGAACGCUGGCGGCGUGCCUAACACAUGCAAGUCGAGCGCGAAUGGAGCAAUCCUAGUAGAGCGGCGCACGGGUGCGUAACACGUGGGUAAUCUGCCUCAGAGACUGGAAUAACCUGCCGAAAGGCUGGCUAAUACCAGAUAAGCCUACGGACUCUUCGGAGUCUGAAGGAAAAGGUGGCCUCUGUAUACAAGCUAUCACUCUGAGAUGAGCCCGCGGCCCAUCAGCUAGUUGGCGGGGUAAUGGCCCACCAAGGCAACGACGGGUAGCUGGUCUGGGAGGACGAUCAGCCACACUGGAACUGAGACACGGUCCAGACUCCUACGGGAGGCAGCAGUGGGGAAUUUUGCACAAUGGGCGAAAGCCUGAUGCAGCAACGCCGCGUGUGUGAUGAAGGUCUUCGGAUUGUAAAGCAC
This 417-nucleotide ribosomal RNA is filed under the name uncultured bacterium. RNAcentral describes it as "bacterial SSU rRNA". It matches the Rfam family "Bacterial small subunit ribosomal RNA", at positions 29 to 433 of the family's 1533-position model. The record is from RNAcentral.